Molecule: ribosomal RNA, 253 nt
Filed under: uncultured bacterium
Lineage: Bacteria
Description: partial 16S ribosomal RNA
Rfam family: Bacterial small subunit ribosomal RNA
Source: RNAcentral
GACAGAGGGUGCAAACGUUGUUCGGAAUGACUGGGCGUAAAGCGCGUGUAGGCGGUUCUGCAAGUCGGGUGUGAAAGCCCUGGGCUCAACCCAGGAAGUGCACUCGAAACUGCAGGACUGGAGUCCCGGAGAGGAAGGCGGAAUUCACGGUGUAGCAGUGAAAUGCGUAGAUAUCGUGAGGAACACCAGAGGCGAAAGCGGUUACCUGGACAGUUACUGACGCUCAGGCACGAAAGCAUGGGGAGCAAACGGG